GCACUGCUGAGGAGUCCCAAACUAGGAGGAAACAGUCGUCCAGUGC
This 46-nucleotide non-coding RNA is filed under the name Schistosoma curassoni. The record is from RNAcentral. Lineage: Eukaryota; Metazoa; Platyhelminthes; Trematoda; Strigeidida; Schistosomatidae.